Molecule: ribosomal RNA, 253 nt
Filed under: uncultured bacterium
Lineage: Bacteria
Description: partial 16S ribosomal RNA
Rfam family: Bacterial small subunit ribosomal RNA
Source: RNAcentral
UACGUAGGGUGCAAGCGUUGUCCGGAAUUAUUGGGCGUAAAGAGCUCGUAGGCGGUUUGUCGCGUCUGCUGUGAAAACUCGGGGCUUAACUCCGGGCCUGCAGUGGGUACGGGCAGACUAGAGUGCGGUAGGGGAGACUGGAAUUCCUGGUGUAGCGGUGAAAUGCGCAGAUAUCAGGAGGAACACCGGUGGCGAAGGCGGCUUUCUGGACGACAACUGACGCUGAGACGCGAAAGCGUGGGGAGCAAACAGG